AUCCAAUGAACUAAAGCGGACGGUGGAGACCUAGGCACUCAGGGCCGAAGAAGGGCGUAGUAACCGACGAAACGCUCCGGGGAGCUGGAAACGAGCUUUGAUCCGGAGAUUCCCGAAUAGGGCAACCUUAUAGACUUCUUUUUUCAAUUCAUAUAAAAGAAGAGGGAACCCGGUGAACUGAAACAUCUCAAUAGCCGGAGGAAAAGAAAGCAAACGCGAUUCCCUUAGUAGCGGCGAGCGAAACGGGAACAGCCUAAACCAAUUAUUUGGUACUCAAUAGAGUCCUAAAAUUGGUGUCGUGGGAGGACGAACACGGCGAGUGUUGAACACACGUACAAUUGACACAUACAAUUGAAGAUGAGACGAAGCAGCUGAAUCCUGCACCAUAGAUGGUGAAAGUCCAGUAGCCUUAUUCAUACAAUGUAUCAAUGAUCAAUGUCUAAUCCCGAGUAGCAUGGGACACGUGGAAUCCCGUGUGAAUCAGCGAGGACCACCUCGUAAGGCUAAAUACUCUUGAGUGACCGAUAGCGAAAAGUACCGUGAGGGAAUGGGUAAAAGAACCCCUGCAGGGGAGUGAAAAAGAACAUGAAACCGUCCGCUGACAAGCAGUGGGAGGAAAAUAAUUUCUGACCGCGUGCCUGUUGAAGAAUGAGCCGGCGACUUAUAGGAAGUGGCGUGGUUAAGGAAUGACAUCCGGAGCCAGAGCGAAAGCAAGUCUGAAUAGGGCAUUUGUCACUUCUUAUGGACCCGAACCCAGGUGAUCUAACCGUGACCAGGAUGAAGCUUGGGUAAAACCAAGUGGAAGGCCGGACCGACCGAUGUUGAAAAAUCGGCGGAUGAGUUGCGGUUAGUAGGAGAAAUUCCAAUCGAACUUGGAGCUAGCUGGAUCUCCCCGAAAUGUGUUGAGGCACAGCGGUAACGAUGGGCUACCUUUGGGUAAAGCGACUGUUUUGGUGCGGGCUGCGAAAGCGGUACCAAGUCAUGGCAAACUCAGAAUCAAAGGUAAAGCUUUCCGUGAACCAGUGAGAAUGUCGGAGAUAAGUUUGACAUUCAAGAGGGAAACAGCCCAGAUCACCAGCUAAGGCCCCUGAAUGGCCGCUAAGUGGAAAAGGAUGUGGGGAUGCUCAAACAACCAGGAGGUUUGCUUAGAAGCAGCAACCCUUGAAAGAGUGCGUAACAGCUCACUGGUACAAGCGUUCUUGCGCCGAUAAUGACCGGGACUAAGCGGCCUGCCGAAGCUGUGAGAUAGAAUCAAUCUAUCGGUAGGGGAGCGUUCCGUUAUCGGGUGAAGCCAUGACGAAAGUCAUUGUGGACGAAACGGAAGUGAGAAUGUCGGCUUGAGUAACGAAAACAUUGGUGAGAAUCCAAUGCCCCGAAAACCUAAGGGUUCCUUCACUAGGCUCGUCCAUGAAGGGUUAGUCAGGUCCUAAGAUUAGGCCGAAAGGCGUCGUCGAUGGAAAUCAGGUUAAUAUUCCUGAACUGAUUGAAGUUUAAGGAUCCCGAGGGACGAAGAAGGCUAAGCUGGAACUGUUUAUGGAUUGCAGUGGAAACGUCCAAGGUUAUGAGAAAGAGAAUGAAAACUCUUUUGAGCUGAGGCGCGAUCCCGUUAGGAAUCGAAUCUUUGAUUGGAUUCCUCGCCAGCGAUGUCACACUUCCAAGAAAAGCUCGUUCGAUUCAUACUUCAACACCUGUACCAGAAACCGACACAGGUAGGUGGGUAGAGAAUACCUAGGGGCGCGAGAGAACUCUCUCUAAGGAACUCGGCAAACUGGCCCCGUAACUUCGGAAGAAGGGGUGCCCCUGCGAAGGGGUCGCAGUGACCAGGCUCUGGCGGCUGUUUACCAAAAACACAGGUAUCCGCAAAGUCGUAAGACAAUAUAUGGGUGCCGACACCUGCCCAGUGCCGGAAGGUGAAGGAAGUUGGUUAGGGGUUUCCUGAAGCUAACGACCGAAGCCCCGGUGAACGGCGGUUGUAACUAUGACAAUCCUAAGGUAGCGAAAUUCCUUGCCAGGUAAGUUCUGGCCUGCACGAAAGGUGUAACGAUCUGAGCGCUGUCUCGGAGAGAGACUCGGUGAAAUAGACUUGUCCGUGAAGAUGCGGACUACCUACACCAGGACAGAAAGACCCUAUGAAGCUUGACUGUAUCCUGGAAUGGGGUUCGGGCUCUUCUUGCGCAGCCUAGGUGGGAGGCGAUGAGGACUUCCUUUCGGGGAAGUCGUAGCCAUCAUUGAGAGACCACUCUGGGAGAGCUAGAAUCCUAAUGGCGAUCCUUGAACCAGGACGCUUGAAAGUUUCAGGUGGGCAGUUUUUCUGGGGCGGAAAUCUCCCAAAAGGUAACGGAGAUGUGCAAAGGUUCCCUCAGUCUGGACGGAAAUCAGACAAUGAGUGCAAAGGCAUAAGGGAGCUUGACUGCAAGACCUACAAGUCGAGCAGGCUGGAAACAGGGCCUUAGUGAUCCGACGGUUCCGUGUGGAAGGGCCGUCGCUCAACGGAUAAAAGUUACUCUAGGGAUAACAGGCUGAUCUUCCCCAAGAGUUCACAUCGACGGGAAGGUUUGGCACCUCGAUGUCGGCUCAUCGCAGCUCAGGGCGGUAGUACGUCCUAAGAGUAAGACUGUUCGUCUUUUAAAGCGGUACGUGAGCUGGGUUCAGAACGUCGUAAGACAGUUCGGUCCAUAUCCGGUGUAGGCGCUAGAGUAUUGAGAGGAUCCUUCUAUAGUACGAGAGGACCUAUGAAGGACGCACCUAUGGUAUACCAGUUCUUGGUCCCCCGGGAAACGCUGGGUAGCUACGUGCGGAGUGGAUAACUGCUGAUAGCGUCUAAGUAGGAAGCCCACCUCAAGAUGAGUACUCUUCUGAGUAGAUAGUUUAUCGAAAGGUAUGAGGUCACGGCUAGACAAGCCGAUAAUAGGUGUUAGGUGGAAGACCAGCAAUGGUUUCAGCCGAGACAUACUAACGACCCAAUCAUUUGGAU
RNAcentral lists this ribosomal RNA (2974 nucleotides) under Oedogonium cardiacum. RNAcentral describes it as "bacterial LSU rRNA". It matches the Rfam family "Bacterial large subunit ribosomal RNA". Lineage: Eukaryota; Viridiplantae; Chlorophyta; Chlorophyceae; Oedogoniales; Oedogoniaceae. The record is from RNAcentral.